GAUGAACGCUGGCGGUGUGCCUAAUACAUGCAAGUCGAGCGAACAGACGAGGAGCUUACUCCUCUGACGUUAGCGGCGGACGGGUGAGUAACACGUGGAUAACCUACCUAUAAGACUGGGAUAACUUCGGGAAACCGGAGCUAAUACCGGAUAACAUGUUGAACCGCAUGGUUCAACAGUGAAAGACGGUCUUGCUGUCACUUAUAGAUGGAUCCGCGUCGCAUUAGCUAGUUGGUAAGGUAACGGCUUACCAAGGCAACGAUGCGUAGCCGACCUGAGAGGGGGAGCGGCAACACUGGAACUGAGACACGGUCCAGCCGCCGACGGGAGGAAGCAGUAGGGAGUCUUGCAAAAGGGGCAAAGGCCUGACGGAGCAACUCCGCGUGAGUGAAAAAGGUCUUCGGAUCUUAAACCUGUGUUAUUAGGAAAGAACAAAUGGGUAAGUAACAAUGCACUUCUUGACGGUACCUAAACAGAAAGCACCGGCUAACUCCGUG
This 497-nucleotide ribosomal RNA is filed under the name uncultured bacterium. RNAcentral describes it as "partial 16S ribosomal RNA". It matches the Rfam family "Bacterial small subunit ribosomal RNA", at positions 28 to 507 of the family's 1533-position model. The record is from RNAcentral.